UGAGGAAUAUUGGUCAAUGGGCGAGAGCCUGAACCAGCCAAGUAGCGUGCAGGAUGACGGCCCUAUGGGUUGUAAACUGCUUUUGUAUGGGGAUAAAGUUAGGGACGUGUCCCUAUUUGCAGGUACCAUACGAAUAAGGACCGGCUAAUUCCGUGCCAGCAGCCGCGGUAAUACGGAAGGUCCAGGCGUUAUCCGGAUUUAUUGGGUUUAAAGGGAGCGUAGGCUGGAGAUUAAGUGUGUUGUGAAAUGUAGACGCUCAACGUCUGAAUUGCAGCGCAUACUGGUUUCCUUGAGUACGCACAACGUUGGCGGAAUUCGUCGUGUAGCGGUGAAAUGCUUAGAUAUGACGAAGAACUCCGAUUGCGAAGGCAGCUGACGGGAGCGCAACUGACGCUUAAGCUCGAAGGUGCGGGUAUCAAACAGG
This 424-nucleotide ribosomal RNA is filed under the name Verrucomicrobiota bacterium. RNAcentral describes it as "Verrucomicrobia bacterium partial 16S ribosomal RNA". It matches the Rfam family "Bacterial small subunit ribosomal RNA", at positions 355 to 776 of the family's 1533-position model. The record is from RNAcentral. Lineage: Bacteria; Pseudomonadati; Verrucomicrobiota.